Molecule: transfer RNA, 67 nt
Filed under: Marmota monax (woodchuck)
Lineage: Eukaryota; Metazoa; Chordata; Mammalia; Rodentia; Sciuridae
Description: tRNA.Undet
Source: RNAcentral
GGUUGUGGUUCAGUGGGAGAGUGCCUGCCUAGCAGCAGCGAGGCCCUGGGUUCGAUCCUCAGCACCA